RNAcentral lists this ribosomal RNA (253 nucleotides) under uncultured bacterium. RNAcentral describes it as "partial 16S ribosomal RNA". It matches the Rfam family "Bacterial small subunit ribosomal RNA", at positions 524 to 776 of the family's 1533-position model. The record is from RNAcentral.
UACGAAGGGGGCUAGCGUUGCUCGGAAUUACUGGGCGUAAAGCGCACGUAGGCGGAUUGCUAAGUCAGGGGUGAAAUCCUGGAGCUCAACUCCAGAACUGCCUUUGAUACUGAAGAUCUUGAGUUCGGGAGAGGUGAGUGGAACUGCGAGUGUAGAGGUGAAAUUCGUAGAUAUUCGCAAGAACACCAGUGGCGAAGGCGGCUCACUGGCCCGAUACUGACGCUGAGGCACGAAAGCGUGGGGAGCAAACAGG